CUAACACAUGCAAGUCGAACGGUUAACAGGAAGAAGCUUGCUUCUUUGCUGACGAGUGGCGGACGGGUGAGUAAUGUCUGGGAAACUGCCUGAUGGAGGGGGAUAACUACUGGAAACGGUAGCUAAUACCGCAUAACGUCGCAAGACCAAAAAGGGGGACCUUCGGGCCUCUUGCCAUCGGAUGUGCCCAGAUGGGAUUAGCUAGUAGGUGGGGUAACGGCUCACCUAGGCGACGAUCCCUAGCUGGUCUGAGAGGAUGACCAGCCACACUGGAACUGAGACACGGUCCAGACUCCUACGGGAGGCAGCAGUGGGGAAUAUUGCACAAUGGGCGCAAGCCUGAUGCAGCCAUGCCGCGUGUAUGAAGAAGGCCUUCGGGUUGUAAAGUACUUUCAGCGGGGAGGAAGGGAGUAAAGUUAAUACCUUUGCUCAUUGACGUUACCCGCAGAAGAAGCACCGGCCAACUCCGUGCCAGCAGCCGCGGUAAUACGGAGGGUGCAAGCGUUAAUCGGAAUUACUGGGCGUAAAGCGCACGCAGGCGGUUUGUUAAGUCAGAUGUGAAAUCCCCGGGCUCAACCUGGGAACUGCAUCUGAUACUGGCAAGCUU
RNAcentral lists this ribosomal RNA (607 nucleotides) under uncultured Pseudomonadota bacterium. Its description in RNAcentral is "bacterial SSU rRNA". It matches the Rfam family "Bacterial small subunit ribosomal RNA", at positions 48 to 643 of the family's 1533-position model. The record is from RNAcentral. Lineage: Bacteria; Pseudomonadati; Pseudomonadota.